RNAcentral lists this ribosomal RNA (107 nucleotides) under Ochotona princeps (American pika). The record is from RNAcentral. Lineage: Eukaryota; Metazoa; Chordata; Mammalia; Lagomorpha; Ochotonidae.
GUGUACGGCCAUACCACCCUGAACGUGCCCAAUCUCAUCUGAUCUUGGAAAAGACACAGCACUCGUGCCCUUUUGCUUUCUUCUACCAUGUUAGGAUGCAGAAGACG